CGGACGGGUGGAGUAAUGUCUGGGAAACUGCCUGAUGGAGGGGGGUAACUACUGGAAACGGUAGCUAAUACCGCAUAACGUCGCAAGACCAAAGAGGGGGACCUUAGGGCCUCUUGCCAUCGGAUGUGCCCAGAUGGGAUUAGCUUGUUGGUGGGGUAACGGCUCACCAAGGCGACGAUCCCUAGCUGGUCUGAGAGGAUGACCAGCCACGCUGGAACUGAGACACGGUCCAG
Molecule: ribosomal RNA, 233 nt
Filed under: uncultured bacterium
Lineage: Bacteria
Description: partial 16S ribosomal RNA
Rfam family: Bacterial small subunit ribosomal RNA
Source: RNAcentral